RNAcentral lists this transfer RNA (65 nucleotides) under Plateros sp. UPOL A00499. RNAcentral describes it as "tRNA-Phe". Lineage: Eukaryota; Metazoa; Arthropoda; Insecta; Coleoptera; Lycidae. The record is from RNAcentral.
UUUUAAUAGCUUAUUAAAGAGUAUAAUAUUGAAGAUAUUAUGGAGGAAGAUUUUCUUUAAAAUAU